GCUGGCGGCACGCCUAACACAUGCAAGUCGAACGAAGUAGCAAUACUUAGUGGCAGACGGGUGAGUAACAUGUGGGUAUCUUCCCUUUGGCCUGGAAUAACACGAGGAAACUUGUGCUAAUACCGGAUAAGUCUUUACGGAGAAAGCUUUAUGCACCAUUGGAUGAGCCCGCACUUGAUUAGUUUGUUGGUAGGGUAAUGGCCUACCAAGACUGUGAUCAAUAGCUGAUUUGAGAGGAUGAUCAGCCACAUUGGGACUGAGACACGGCCCAAACUCCUACGGGAGGCAGCAGUGGGGAAUCUUGCACAAUGGAGGAAACUCUGAUGCAGCGAUGCCGCGUGAGUGAAGAAGGCCUUUGGGUUGUAAAGCUCUUUCGUCGGGGAAGAAAAUGACUGUACCCGAAUAAGAAGGUCCGGCUAACUUCGUGCCAGCAGCCGCGGUAAUACGAAGGGACCUAGCGUAGUUCGGAAUUACUGGGCUUAAAGAGUUCGUAGGUGGUUGAAAAAGUUGGUGGUGAAAUCCCAGAGCUUAACUCUGGAACUGCCAUCAAAACUUUUCAGCUAGAGUAUGAUAGAGGAAAGCAGAAUUUCUAGUGUAGAGGUGAAAUUCGUAGAUAUUAGAAAGAAUACCAAUUGCGAAGGCAGCUUUCUGGAUCAUUACUGACACUGAGGAACGAAAGCAUGGGUAGCGAAGAGGAUUAGAUACCCUCGUAGUCCAUGCCGUAAACGAUGUGUGUUAGACGUUGGAAAUUUAUUUUCAGUGUC
Molecule: ribosomal RNA, 764 nt
Filed under: uncultured Pelagibacteraceae bacterium
Lineage: Bacteria; Pseudomonadati; Pseudomonadota; Alphaproteobacteria; Candidatus Pelagibacterales; Candidatus Pelagibacteraceae
Description: bacterial SSU rRNA
Rfam family: Bacterial small subunit ribosomal RNA
Source: RNAcentral